CUCCCGGUGGAUCCUGCCGGACCCGACUGCUAUCAGAGUGGGACUAAGCCAUGCGAGUCAACAUAGCAAUAUGUGGCAUACGGCUCAGUAACACGUAGUCAAUAUGCCCAGGGGACGUGGAUAACCUCGGGAAACUGAGGAUAAACCGCGAUAGGUCAUCACUUCUGGAAUGGGUAAUGACUUAAAUCUAUAUGGCCCCUGGAUUGGACUGCGGCCGAUCAGGCUGUUGGUGAGGUAAUGGCCCACCAAACCUGUAACCGGUACGGGCUCUGAGAGGAGGAGCCCGGAGAUGGGCACUGAGACAAGGGCCCAGGCCCUAUGGGGCGCAGCAGGCGCGAAACCUCUGCAAUAGGCGAAAGCUUGACAGGGUUACUCUGAGUGAUUUCCGUUAAGGAGAUCUUUUGGCACCUCUAAAAAUGGUGCAGAAUAAGGGGUGGGCAAGUCUGGUGUCAGCCGCCGCGGUAAUACCAGCACCCCGAGUGGUCGGGACGUUUAUUGGGCCUAAAGCAUCCGUAGCCGGUUCUACAAGUCUUCCGUUAAAUCCACCUGCUUAACAGAUGGGCUGCGGAAGAUACUAUAGAGCUAGGAGGCGGGAGAGGCAAGCGGUACUCGAUGGGUAGGGGUAAAAUCCGUUGAUCCAUUGAAGACCACCAGUGGCGAAGGCGGCUUGCCAGAACGCGCUCGACGGUGAGGGAUGAAAGCUGGGGGAGCAAACCGGAUUAGAUACCCGGGUAGUCCCAGCUGUAAACGAUGCAGACUCGGUGAUGAGUUGGCUUAUUGCUAACUCAGUGCCGCAGGGAAGCCGUUAAGUUUGCCGCCUGGGGAGUACGGUCGCAAGACUGAAACUUAAAGGAAUUGGCGGGGGAGCA
This 869-nucleotide ribosomal RNA is filed under the name uncultured archaeon. RNAcentral describes it as "bacterial SSU rRNA". It matches the Rfam family "Archaeal small subunit ribosomal RNA", at positions 1 to 878 of the family's 1478-position model. The record is from RNAcentral.